Molecule: ribosomal RNA, 443 nt
Filed under: uncultured bacterium
Lineage: Bacteria
Description: partial 16S ribosomal RNA
Rfam family: Bacterial small subunit ribosomal RNA
Source: RNAcentral
CCUACGGGAGGCAGCAGUGGGGAAUAUUGGGCAAUGGGCGCAAGCCUGACCCAGCAACGCCGCGUGAAGGAAGAAGGCUUUCGGGUUGUAAACUUCUUUUCUCAGGGACGAAGAAAGUGACGGUACCUGAGGAAUAAGCCACGGCGAACUACGUGCCAGCAGCCGCGGUAAUACGUAGGUGGCAAGCGUUAUCCGGAUUUACUGGGUGUAAAGGGCGUGUAGGCGGGGAAGCAAGUCAGAUGUGAAAACCACGGGCUCAACCUGUGGCCUGCAUUUGAAACUGUUUUUCUUGAGUACGGGAGAGGCAGACGGAAUUCGUAGUGUAGCGGUGAAAUGCGUAGAUAUUAGGAGGAACACCAGUGGCGAAGGCGGUCUGCUGGAGCGCAACUGACGCUGAGGCGCGAAAGCGUGGGGAGCAAACAGGAUUAGAUACCCGUGUAGUC